This 501-nucleotide ribosomal RNA is filed under the name uncultured bacterium. RNAcentral describes it as "partial 16S ribosomal RNA". It matches the Rfam family "Bacterial small subunit ribosomal RNA", at positions 29 to 523 of the family's 1533-position model. The record is from RNAcentral.
AUUGAACGCUGGCGGCAUGCCUUACACAUGCAAGUCGAACGGCAGCACGGGUGCUUGCACCUGGUGGCGAGUGGCGAACGGGUGAGUAAUACAUCGGAACGUACCUUAUCGUGGGGGAUAACGCAGCGAAAGCUGUGCUAAUACCGCAUACGCCCUGAGGGGGAAAGCGGGGGAUCGAAAGACCUCGCGCGAUUAGAGCGGCCGAUGCCUGAUUAGCUUGUUGGUGGGGUAAAAGCCCACCAAGGCGACGAUCAGUAGCUGGUCUGAGAGGACGAUCAGCCACACUGGGACUGAGACACGGCCCAGACUCCUACGGGAGGCAGCAGUGGGGAAUUUUGGACAAUGGGGGAAACCCUGAUCCAGCAAUGCCGCGUGAGUGAAGAAGGCCUUCGGGUUGUAAAGCUCUUUUGUCAGGGAAGAAACACCGGCUCUAACACAGUCCGGGAAUGACGGUACCUGAAGAAUAAGCACCGGCUAACUACGUGCCAGCAGCCGCCGCCG